UGUUCAUAAGACGUUUUUUGUUUGUUUUCAUGAGUGGGGCCUGCCCUGGAGGUUUGUCGGUGGCCUUUGGAAACACCCUGUAUUGAUAUAUUCAUGGAAUUGACUUGUAAUUGUCCUGUUAAGAUGGCAAGAUGUGUCAAUAUCUGUUUUUCAUACAAUCUAAAUAUAUUUUUACAUUUCUAUUUUAUGGAGGUUUUCUGGACCUCACAGAAUGAAGAACAAUUAACAAAGAAAAGAAACAAAGAAAGAAUGAUUGUAGAGGAAUCUAGUAUGGUGCAUAAAGAUAGAUAUAUAUGGCUCUAUCUAAUUGGUGGCAUUUGAAUGUUUUCCCCUCAUUUUAUUAUUAUUAUUUUUCCUUCUUUGAAUGCUGUCCGUUUUCAUACAAGGAUAUGGGUGUGAUGUUGUUGUUGUCAUAUUAAAGAUGUAAUUAGUAAUCAGAUUCAAAACUGAUAGUGACUGAAAUAAAAAUUUAUGAUAAUAUACUGGAUGAAGAAAAAUUGCAUCUUGAACUUUUGCAUACCGAUGGGAGAUAUCAG
RNAcentral lists this long non-coding RNA (536 nucleotides) under Androctonus crassicauda. The record is from RNAcentral. Lineage: Eukaryota; Metazoa; Arthropoda; Arachnida; Scorpiones; Buthidae.